UCUCCGUAGGUGAACCUGCGGAGGGAUCAUUACAGAGUUCAUGCCCUACCGGGUAGAUCUCCCACCCUAUGUUAUUAUUACUUUGUUGCUUUGGCGGGCCGUUAGGCUCCGGCCCGACUACCGGCCCCGGCUGGUAAGCGCCCGCCAGGGGACCCAAAACCCUGAAUAUUAGUGUCGUCUGAGUACUAUAUAUAGUUAAAACUUUCAACAACGGAUCUCUUGGUUCUG
RNAcentral lists this unclassified non-coding RNA (228 nucleotides) under plant metagenome. RNAcentral's name for it is "partial contains small subunit ribosomal RNA, internal transcribed spacer 1, and 5.8S ribosomal RNA". The record is from RNAcentral.